RNAcentral lists this ribosomal RNA (482 nucleotides) under uncultured bacterium. Its description in RNAcentral is "partial 16S ribosomal RNA". It matches the Rfam family "Bacterial small subunit ribosomal RNA", at positions 30 to 507 of the family's 1533-position model. The record is from RNAcentral.
AUUGAACGCUGGCGGCAUGCCUUACACAUGCAAGUCGAACGGUAACGGGCCUUCGGUUGCCGACGAGUGGCGAACGGGUGCGUAAUACAUCGGAACGUGCCCGAUCGCUGUGGGUAACGAGUCGAAAGCUUUGCUAAUACCUCAUACGAUCUACGGAUGAAAGCCGGGGACCGCAAGGCCUUGCGCGGACGGUGCUGCCGAUGGCAGAUUAGGUAGUUGGUGGGAUAAAAGCUUACCAAGCCGACGAUCUGUAGCUGGUCUGAGAGGAUGAUCAGCCACACUGGGACUGAGACACGGCCCAGACUCCUACGGGAGGCAGCAGUGGGGAAUUUUGGACAAUGGGCGCAAGCCUGAUCCAGCCAUGCCGCGUGCAGGAUGAAGGCCUUCGGGUUGUAAAAUGCUUUUGUACGGAACGAAAAGCCUUCUUUUAAUACAGGAGGGUCAUGACGGUACCGUAAGAAUAAGCACCGGCUAACUACGUG